UUGAAGGUGGAAGAGGCUUUACGAUGUGCUGGCAGAGGCCACACAUGGAGGGAUCGUAAUCCAAGUUCAUCCCACAAUGAUUAGAAUGCAAUGAAGAUGUCACCAAGAGGUGACAUGAUAUAGCGGAUCGUGGUGGAACAGUUCAUGGUAAUGUGAUACACACGAAAUUAGUCCCGCAAGGGACUAGAUCAUACAGAGGUAUGAUCGGGAGGUAUUGGGAGCUCCACUCUGGUGAACAACACGACAACAAGAAAGGCUAUGGAUUUAAGGAGUGAAUGUCAUAGUACUGCAAAGGCGGGUCUUCCGUGUAUGCAUUGAAUUUUGUAUCGGAUGAAAGCUUUAGUCAUCAGCAUAUGGGGGUUAUGUAUUGCCAAGGGAGAAUUUCGAAUGCAAGUACUAGUGAGUCCCAUGGGGAGACUUGAUCAUGCAGAAGUAUGAUCGAAGCGGUUGGAGAGUUGGAUUAUUCCAGAGCUCAUAUUCGCUUAAGGGAGCCUGACAAGUCAGGGGACAAGGUCGAGUAAGCGAACGUUGCUACCAAGGAAGCUAAGGAGAACAGAAUCAGUGCGAGCCUUGUAACAUGAUGGCAGAGGCUAUGCAUGAGAGUUGCAGUCUGUCUUUCUAUCGACCAAGGGGAAUUGCUCGGAGAACACAAAGGUGUUGAAGUAGGUGGUCAAAAGGAGCGAGAAAGUGACAACGAGUCCAGAGGGACUUAGCUACCCAAAACCAAGUAUCGGUUAGAAUAGAGGUAAACUCGGAGGAGUGCCACAGUGCCGCGAAGGCGAAUCUACUGAUCACGAAGAAAGGGACGCAGAUACGAGCUGACAGAUAGUAGGGCCAUGGGCAUGACAGCGCCAUGGUACUGCAGAGGUGGGACUUUCGUGGAAUCAUCGAUCCCUUGCUCUCAUGGAGGGAGAGCGCUUGGUCAUGAAAGGGGCUGAGGAGGUAGAGAAUGCAAAAGCAAACUCUAAGUACUGAGACAAGGCUGAAGGGCAGAGGCCAAGAAACUUCGUAAGACUGGUGUCAACGAGUUUCUCAUCAAGAUAACCAAAAGUUGAGGACUUCGGAUCGAUGCAUGAGUGCUCGACCAAGGAACGAAGUAGGCAGUAUAUGGUGCUGUACCUUUGCUACUAAGAGGAAUAGGCAGCAGAGAUGAUAGAGAAGAUGGUACAAUCCCAAAGGCGGCCAAAACUAUUAGAUUCUUGUUCCAAGUUGGGGUGAAAACUUCUUACAUUCUAGAAGUUCAAUGGCAUUGAGAAGGUGAAUCACAGUAGCUAACUCAACGCAAGGAGUGCAAAUACUUCAAGUGCUUUGGAAGUAUGAGCAAAGCGGGUGAAGGCUAAUAACCAGCUCGAUGCAUAGAGUACAACCCUCGAGGAGGCAAGCGAAGUCAAGUAACCUUUGCUUUCUCAACUCUUAAGAGAAUAGGCGAAACCGAGUACUCAAAUUCUCUUAUAUAUCCAGCAGAGGAGCUCUGCAUAGCUUCAAAGACCCUUUGAAGAAACUUAAGGGAAGACAUUGGUUGUCAAAUCCUCAUCAAUGGUGAUCGGUGCUGCUGAGCGUAGAUUGUCCGCUUCAUUUCCUAACAGAAUGUUAAUCGAAAGCAGAAGUGAUGUGAUCCUACUUGGAAAUGACAACUAAGUGGAAGAAGAAUCGAUAGGCAAAUUUUGCGGAGGAAGGACCCAAAAACUUUAAAGUCUGCGAGGCGAUGCUUGUUAAAGCUCUAACACGCAUCCAUCCAGUUCAAGCGGCAUGAGGCAUUUGAGAGACUAGUGCAUACCAAGGAUGAUCUUUUCCUUCAUCUGAGGGAUCCGUACGAACUAACAGGGAUCAGCACAACUCAGUCGACCCCAGACCAGAGUCAGAGUCAUUAGCGUGUUGAAGUAGUAUGGUAGAUCAAAGUUUGACUACUCAACAACAGCGGUGGAGUGCAAUUGGGAGCCAAGAGGCACAUUGCAUUUGGAGCAGAAGAUUCAAGGCUCAGCAAAGGCAAGGAGAUGUAGCAUCUGCAAAGGCUUCAACGAGGACGUCGAAGGAAUAAGUGGGGGAGAAUGUCACAGACAAAAUUGUAAACGAGGUGUUUGAUGUAAUGCUCAUGUAUGUCCGUGUCUUUCGGUUUUGUUCAUGAUUUGCACAGCAUGUAAAAGGCUAACAGUAGGCUUAGCAACCCUAUUUUGGUUGGCUUUAGUAGUCGCUUUAGGCUAGUAAACAAAGGUUGUGUCAUGUGGGCACUUGUGGGUAUUUCGAUUUGUAGUGGACCAUUUUGGACCUUUUGUUAUGUGAUUGUUCAGAGCUUGUGAAGUCUAUGUUUGUAAUUUGUAUUGGCUAUGAAGUGUUUACUGAAAUAGUUGCUUGUAGAUCCUGAGUGAAACACUUUCUCAAACCCGUUUUCUCUUUUGUAGGUCCUAAGGGACCAUAGGAGAUUUUGGGGAGGUUGAUCUUUGCGAACGAACACGCAAGGGUGCUACACGACUUAGGCAAAAUUAGCUAAGUUCGUGACAUCUAUUAAAUAGUGUUACUCAAGAAGGGAGGUUCACACCCUUUCAUUUUAAACACAAAUAUAAGCUCACUCAUAUGAUGUAUGCGGAUGAUAUUUUGUUUAUGUUUUAGAGCUAACAAGAAGUCUUGCAAAACUAGUGUCAAUAUCUUUCGUAUGUAUGAGAUCCUCACUAACCAACGAAUGAAUCUGGUAAAAUCUGAAAUUUUCUUCCCUUGUGAUAACAACCAAUCUACUAAAGCCUCUAUAUGAUUUCUUUGUGUCGUUUGCCGGUUUAUGCUUUUGAUAACCAUUUGCAUGAAAUUCAAUAGAAGUUAAGCUCUUGGCAAGCAAAUUUUUUAUCGCAAGCUGGUCGCAUUACUUAUAUUAAAUCGGUUUUGAUGGCCUCCCCUGUCCAUAUGUUGUCUGUUUCUUGGAUGCCGGUUCAUUUUCUGAACAAUAUCAAUAGAAUGGUUUGGAACUUCUUAUGGCAGAAGAACUCCUCUACCAGGGGUCUUCACCUCCUCUCUUGGGAUACCAUCACUGCAGCUAAGGAUAAGGGUGGUCUUGGAAUUCAACAUUUGGUGUUUACUUUUACUGCAUUGCAAAUUAAGAGAAUAUAUAAUUAUCUAAACAAAACUGACAGUAUUUGGUGCAAAGUUGUUUAUGCUAAAUAUGGAGAGGUUUAUCCUUGGCAGAAAGGCUCUUUUGUUAAUGCUAGCUGGUCUUGGCGUUUGUUUAUGCAUUCUAUGUGGGAUUUGCAUUUGGCAUUUUCAUGUUUAAUUGGUAAUGGUUGUUUGGUUCACACUUUUGACCACAGUUGGCUUUUUGAUAUGCUGAUUUCUUAUAUACCUACUUAUGUAAAUAUGGAUUAUGUGCAUAAGGCUUCUACCAUUUCUACUUUGAUUUCUGAUCAGAAUUGGGAUGUUGCUAAACUGGAUUUGUUUUUCGGAUCCCUGCUUGUCGAUAUGGUUUUAAAAGUGGAUUUAUCAUGUGUCCCCAAUGACGAUUCUUGGAUUUGGACCCUUGACUCAAAGGGGCAACCAUCAACCAAGGCUACAUAUGGCUUUCUAUCAUCUCACUGUGCUGCGGAUCAUGUACAAUCUAAUGUGUGGUCUAGUCUUUGGAGAAUUCCUGCUGUUCCUCGUACUAUGUUAGUUUGUUGAAAAUUACUGCAUGGUCGAUUAGCGACUUCUCAUUACAUAGCGAAUUUUGGUAUAAUGGGAGCUAAUUCCUGCUUUAUGUGUGGUUUUCAUGAAGACAGUUUAUCCCACUUGUUUUUUGGAUGCUCCUUUUCACACGCUGUCUUUUAUAUCAUUAAACAGAAGCUAGAUAUCUCCUUCAGAUUUUAUGAUAUGUGGCAUACUGGUGCAUGGUAAAGGGAAGGUGAUGAGUUGGGUAAACAAUCUUGUUUAACCCUUAAAGCCAUUAUUGCAUAUGCCUUCUGGAUGAUCUGGAAGGCUCGGAAUGAUGUCAUUUUCAAUGGUAAAACAACAACCUCUUAAAGUAUUUUCUGUAAGGUGGUGGCUUGUAUUGCUGUCGAUCCUGUCCAAAGUCCUCCUGAGGGUCCCCCUGCCCCUUCUUCCCACAUUCUUGUGGUCUGGAGGUUGCCGGAGCCUGGAGGUCGCAGCUUUUUGAUGGACAAGGGCAUUCUAUAUAUGGAGAUGUUCGUGGUGCUUCAAGGACUUUGAUUGACUGCUGCUGAUGAUACCGAUCGAUGAUCAAGCUAUACCAGAGAGGAGGAGCGAUGGUAGCAGAGUAAAAACAGUGCUGUAGUGGUAGGAGGAGAAGCAGGACAACGGAAGGAAGAAGAGAAAGAAAUAGCAAAGUCUCAAUUUAAAUUUACGCAUAAAUUAAAUCUGUUUAAGUAGAUCGAUGUCAACAGUAUUGAGCUUAAUUGAUUAUGAUGUAUUAUUGGAUACUCCAAGGGGAUGAUGAGAGUACUUCCUAUUAACUUGAGCAUUGCUGAUGGAUCUUUUACUCCAAGGGUACCGGCUACUGCUUCUUUGAUCAGCAGAAAUGUUAAUCUAGCUUCUGGUCCUCUGCAGGCAGAAUGCCGAGCGAUAAGGGAUGAUUUACCAAAAGCCUCUCAGUUGAAGUUACAUGAUAUCAUUGUUAACUCGGACUCACCGAAAGCCAUACUUAUUUGUAAUAGAAUUAGAUUCAUAUCUUGGCAUUUGUGAAAUAUCUGUAAUGAUGUUCCCAAACAUGCUGAGGAAGUUAGUGUUUUGAGUUUUGAGCAUGCAAACAGAUUGUCAAUCCGACUAGGAUUUUUUUGUUCUCCAGUAUCGGAUGCGAUUCCUGUACUUUUGGGGACAUUUGAAGUCCUAUCAACUGAGUUGAAGGUUUUUGUUUCAAAAAGAAAGAAAGGAAAAAAAAAAAGAAACUUGAGCAAGUGCUAUUUGGAAAGAGUUAAGAUCAUUUCAAUUCUUCCAGGUAUUGCAAAAAGAUACAUAUGGAAAUGAUCCAACAGUGACUGUUGGUU
Musa acuminata AAA Group (dessert banana) is the source of this 4958-nucleotide long non-coding RNA. RefSeq lists it as uncharacterized. The transcript has 4 exons. Lineage: Eukaryota; Viridiplantae; Streptophyta; Magnoliopsida; Zingiberales; Musaceae. The record is from RefSeq and is a predicted model, not a curated record.